Molecule: ribosomal RNA, 1020 nt
Filed under: Bacillus sonorensis
Lineage: Bacteria; Bacillati; Bacillota; Bacilli; Caryophanales; Bacillaceae
Description: bacterial SSU rRNA
Rfam family: Bacterial small subunit ribosomal RNA
Source: RNAcentral
AAUCGAGCGGACAGAUGGGAGCUUGCUCCCUGAUGUUAGCGGCGGACGGGUGAGUAACACGUGGGUAACCUGCCUGUAAGACUGGGAUAACUCCGGGAAACCGGGGCUAAUACCGGAUGCUUGAUUGAACCGCAUGGUUCAAUUAUAAAAGGUGGCUUUUAGCUACCACUUACAGAUGGACCCGCGGCGCAUUAGCUAGUUGGUGAGGUAACGGCUCACCAAGGCAACGAUGCGUAGCCGACCUGAGAGGGUGAUCGGCCACACUGGGACUGAGACACGGCCCAAACUCCUACGGGAGGCAGCAGUAGGGAAUCUUCCGCAAUGGACGAAAGUCUGACGGAGCAACGCCGCGUGAGUGAUGAAGGUUUUCGGAUCGUAAAACUCUGUUGUUAGGGAAGAACAAGUACCGUUCGAAUAGGGCGGUACCUUGACGGUACCUAACCAGAAAGCCACGGCUAACUACGUGCCAGCAGCCGCGGUAAUACGUAGGUGGCAAGCGUUGUCCGGAAUUAUUGGGCGUAAAGCGCGCGCAGGCGGUUUCUUAAGUCUGAUGUGAAAGCCCCCGGCUCAACCGGGGAGGGUCAUUGGAAACUGGGGAACUUGAGUGCAGAAGAGGAGAGUGGAAUUCCACGUGUAGCGGUGAAAUGCGUAGAGAUGUGGAGGAACACCAGUGGCGAAGGCGACUCUCUGGUCUGUAACUGACGCUGAGGCGCGAAAGCGUGGGGAGCGAACAGGAUUAGAUACCCUGGUAGUCCACGCCGUAAACGAUGAGUGCUAAGUGUUAGAGGGUUUCCGCCCUUUAGUGCUGCAGCAAACGCAUUAAGCACUCCGCCUGGGGAGUACGGUCGCAAGACUGAAACUCAAAGGAAUUGACGGGGGCCCGCACAAGCGGUGGAGCAUGUGGUUUAAUUCGAAGCAACGCGAAGAACCUUACCAGGUCUUGACAUCCUCUGACAACCCUAGAGAUAGGGCUUCCCCUUCGGGGGCAGAAUGACAGGUGGUGCAUGGUUGUCGUCACCU